Molecule: long non-coding RNA, 1320 nt
Organism: Fundulus heteroclitus (mummichog)
Lineage: Eukaryota; Metazoa; Chordata; Actinopteri; Cyprinodontiformes; Fundulidae
Exons: 3
Source: RefSeq, a predicted model, not a curated record
CAGAUGCAUCAAAAAGUUUAGUUAAUAAGAUAGGAGUAUCAGUUAUUGUUCCAGAGUUUAAAAUUACAAUAGGAAAGAGGAUCAGUGAUAACAUAUCAGUAUACACAGGAGAAAUGGUAGCAAUUCUGUUGGCAGUACAAUGGGUAGAGGAAAUAAGACCACUGAGAGUAAUGAUUUAUUCAGAUUCAUCUUCAUCAUUAAUCAGUUUACAGAGAAGUCAUUCAGAUAGUAGACCAGAUAUUUUAAUAGAAAUCCAGCAAACAUUGUUCAGAAUUCAAAUAAUGGGAAUUACAGUUAUAUUUUUGUGGGUACCAGCACAUAUGGGAAUAAAAGGAAAUGAAAUGGCAGAUAAGGUUGCAAAGGAGGCUACAAUUAGAGAAAACAUUGAUAUCUCAAUUAAAGUUAGUAAGAUGGAAGUAAAGAGCAUUAUUAAACAGAAGAUGAAGGAAAGGUGGCAAAAGCAAUGGGAGGAAGAGAGGAAAGGACGGUGGCUGUACAUGAUUCAGAGGAGAGUGGGAGAAAUGAGUUGUGCAGGGAGGAGCAGAGGGGAAGAAACAAUCAUAUCAAGACUUAGAUUUGGGCACACAGGAUUAAAUGGAACAUUAUUCAAAAUAGGGAAGCAUAACACUGGAAGAUGUGAGUAUUGUGGGGAACAAGAAACAGUUGAGCAUAUUAUGAUAUACUGUAAGAAAUAUGAAGAAGAAAGAAGGGAAAUGGUUAAAAAUUUAAAAAGGAAAAGAAUAACAUUUGAUUUAAUAGAAAUGCUUAGAGGUAAUUCAAGAGAUGAGUGUUAUGGGAUUAUGUUUCAUUAUCUUAGACUAAGUAAUUUAAUUGAUAGGAUUUAAUUUAAUUUAAUUUUUUUUUUUUUUUUUGGGUGUUUGUUUUGUUUUGGUAGUUUGGUUUAAUUUAUUUGAGGUAGUAUAAGUCAUUCUGACCCACACUCCAAACCAGUUGGUGGCGGUAAUGCACCGUUUCGUUGCGUGCCAACCGCCAGAAAAAAACCAUAAAGAAGAAGAAGAAGAAGAGCACAAGAUGAACAUAAAACAACGUAUAGCUCCUACACUUGCUGUUUACAUUUGGUUAUAAAAUCUGUGGAUUUGUUUAUUUACAGGUUUGCACUGCAAAACUUUCAUUUUUCCCUUUCAUUAAUCCUCUUUAUUACCAUCUCAGCUGGAUUUAGUGGGUGUAAUGAAUUAGAUGAAGGUGGACCCAGAAUUCAGCCAAAACAAGCGAGCCUGCCCGACCCCGAUCUGACUCAGUCUGCCUGCCUGAGACCUGCUCUGUUGGCUUUUGGACCCUGGAACCUGCACGACCUGGAUU